This 663-nucleotide ribosomal RNA is filed under the name Triticum aestivum (bread wheat). RNAcentral describes it as "partial small subunit ribosomal RNA". Lineage: Eukaryota; Viridiplantae; Streptophyta; Magnoliopsida; Poales; Poaceae. The record is from RNAcentral.
AUGGAUGUCCAACUGUCUCAGGAUCCAGAUAGGUUGUUUUGGAAAUUGACAAAGGACGGUAGGUUCUCGGUUAAAUCCAUGUAUCUGGAUGUCAUUAAUACUAGUGUCAUUCCUUGCUCCAGACAUGUCUGGAAAGUUAAGGUACCUUUGCGAAUUAAAGUGUUUAUGUGGUUUGUGCAUAAAAAAGUAAUUUUGACAAAGGAUAAUCUGGCAAAACGCAAUUGGGUGGGUUCUGCUAGAUGUAGUUUCUGCGAUUGUAAUGAAACUAUCAGGCACCUCUUUCUGGAUUGUCCACUGGCUAAGCUUCUUUGGCGUUCGAUUCAUAUUGCCUUCAAUAUUAUUCCACCUACUUCUAUCAAUAUGUUGUUUGGAACAUGGCUUGAUGGGGUAGACUUGAUUUUAGCAAGACUCAUUCGUGUUGGCGCGUGUGCCUUGUUAUGGGCAGUAUGGAACUGCAGAAAUGAUUUGGUUUUUAACAGAGCAACGAACUUUCAUUUUUUGCAGGUUAUCUUCAGGGCCACAGCGUUGAUCCGUAUGUGGUCGCUACUCACUCCGAUGGAGGACAGGGGGCAUUUGGCUACUGCGUCUACCCGAUGGGAGAUGGUAGCUCGGGUUAUUUUCAACCGGUUUGGAUGGCGGUCAUGUAAUAGGAUAGGCAUGUAG